Molecule: ribosomal RNA, 450 nt
Filed under: uncultured bacterium
Lineage: Bacteria
Description: partial 16S ribosomal RNA
Rfam family: Bacterial small subunit ribosomal RNA
Source: RNAcentral
GUGGGGAAUAUUGGACAAUGGGCGAAAGCCUGAUCCAGCCAUGCCGCGUGUGUGAAGAAGGUCUUCGGAUUGUAAAGCACUUUAAGUUGGGAGGAAGGGCAGUAAGUUAAUACCUUGCUGUUUUGACGUUACCGACAGAAUAAGCACCGGCUAACUUCGUGCCAGCAGCCGCGGUAAUACGAAGGGUGCAAGCGUUAAUCGGAAUUACUGGGCGUAAAGCGCGCGUAGGUGGUUCAGCAAGUUGAAGGUGAAAUCCCCGGGCUCAACCUGGGAACUGCCUCCAAAACUGCAUGACUAGAGUACGGUAGAGGGUGGUGGAAUUUCAGGUGUAGCGGUGAAAUGCGUAGAGAUCUGAAGGAACAUCAGUGGCGAAGGCGACCACCUGGACUGAUACUGACACUGAGGUGCGAAAGCGUGGGGAGCAAACAGGAUUAGAAACCCCAGUAGUCC